GGUUAAGCGACUAAGCGUACACGGUGGAUGCCCUGGCAGUCAGAGGCGAUGAAGGACGUGCUAAUCUGCGAUAAGCGUCGGUGAGGUGAUAUGAACCGUUAUAACCGGCGAUUUCCGAAUGGGGAAACCCAGUGUGAUUCGUCACACUAUCAUUAACUGAAUCCAUAGGUUAAUGAGGCGAACCGGGGGAACUGAAACAUCUAAGUACCCCGAGGAAAAGAAAUCAACCGAGAUUCCCCCAGUAGCGGCGAGCGAACGGGGAGGAGCCCAGAGCCUGAAUCAGUGUGUGUGUUAGUGGAAGCGUCUGGAAAGGCGCGCGAUACAGGGUGACAGCCCCGUACACAAAAAUGCACAUAUUGUGAGCUCGAUGAGUAGGGCGGGACACGUGGUAUCCUGUCUGAAUAUGGGGGGA
Molecule: ribosomal RNA, 412 nt
Filed under: Escherichia coli WV_060327
Lineage: Bacteria; Pseudomonadati; Pseudomonadota; Gammaproteobacteria; Enterobacterales; Enterobacteriaceae
Description: LSU rRNA
Rfam family: Bacterial large subunit ribosomal RNA
Source: RNAcentral